GACGAACGCUGGCGACGUGCCUAAUACAUGCAAGUAGAACGCUGAAGGAGGAGCUUGCUCUUCUGGAUGAGUUGCGAACGGGUGAGUAACGCGUAGGUAACCUGCCUGGUAGCGGGGGAUAACUAUUGGAAACGAUAGCUAAUACCGCAUAAGAGUAGAUGUUGCAUGACAUUUACUUAAAAGGUGCAAUUGCAUCACUACCAGAUGGACCUGCGUUGUAUUAGCUAGUUGGUGGGGUAACGGCUUACCAAGGCGACGAUACAUAGCCGACCUGAGAGGGUGAUCGGCCACACUGGGACUGAGACACGGCCCAGACUCCUACGGGAGGCAGCAGUAGGGAAUCUUCGGCAAUGGACGGAAGUCUGACCGAGCAACGCCGCGUGAGUGAAGAAGGUUUUCGGAUCGUAAAGCUCUGUUGUAAGAGAAGAACGAGUGUGAGAGUGGAAAGUUCACACUGUGACGGUAUCUUACCAGAAAGGGACGGCUAACUACGUG
This 495-nucleotide ribosomal RNA is filed under the name uncultured bacterium. Its description in RNAcentral is "partial 16S ribosomal RNA". It matches the Rfam family "Bacterial small subunit ribosomal RNA", at positions 28 to 507 of the family's 1533-position model. The record is from RNAcentral.